AGAGUUUGAACCUGGCUCAGGAUGAACGCUGGCGGUCUGCUUAACACAUGCAAGUCGAACGGAAUUCUUCGGGAUUUAGUGGCGGACGGGUGAGUAACACGUGAGAAUCUGCACUCAGGAUGGGGACAACAGCGGGAAACUGCUGCUAAUACCCAAUGUGCCGAAAGGUGAAAGAUUUAUCGCCUGAGAAUGAGCUCGCGGCCGAUUAGUUAGUUGGUGGGGUAAAGGCCUACCAAGACGGCGAUCGGUAGCUGGUCUGAGAGGAUGAGCAGCCACACUGGGACUGAGACACGGCCCAGACUCCUACGGGAGGCAGCAGUGGGGAAUUUUCCGCAAUGGGCGCAAGCCUGACGGAGCAAGACCGCGUGGGGGAGGAAGGCUCUUGGGUUGUAAACCCCUUUUCUCAGGGAAGAACACAAUAACGGUACCUGAGGAAUCAGCCUCGGCUAACUCCGUGCCAGCAGCCGCGGUAAUACGGAGGAGGCAAGCGUUAUCCGGAAUUAUUGGGCGUAAAGCGUCCGCAGGUGGUGGGGCAAGUCGGCGGUUAAAGACUGGGGCUUAACCCCAGAAAGGCCGUGGAAACUGCACCACUAGAGGGCAGUAGGGGUAGAGGGAAUUCCCGGUGUAGCGGUGAAAUGCGUAGAGAUCGGGAAGAACACCAGUGGCGAAAGCGCUCUACUGGACUGCAACUGACACUCAGGGACGAAAGCUAGGGGAGCGAAUGGGAUUAGAUACCCCAGUAGUCCUAGCCGUAAACGAUGGAUACUAGGUGUUGUCUGUAUCGACCCAGACAGUGCCGUAGCUAACGCGAUAAGUAUCCCGCCUGGGGAGUACGCACGCAAGUGUGAAACUCAAAGGAAUUGACGGGGGCCCGCACAAGCGGUGGAGUAUGUGGUUUAAUUCGAUGCAACGCGAAAAACCUUACCAGGGCUUGACAUGUCGCGAACCCCGCUGAAAGGUGGGGGUGCCUUCGGGAGCGCGAACACAGGUGGUGCAUGGCUGUCGUCAGCUCGUGUCGUGAGAUGUUGGGUUAAGUCCCGCAACGAGCGCAACCCUCGUUCUUAGUUGCCAUCAUUUAGUUGGGCACUCUAGGGAGACUGCCGGUGAUAAACCGGAGGAAGGUGGGGAUGACGUCAAGUCCUCAUCCCCCUUACGUCCUGGGCUACACACGUACUACAAUGGGUGGGACAAAGGGCAGCGAACUCGCAAGAGCCGGCUAAUCCCAUAAACCUACCCCCAGUUCAGAUUGCUCUCUGCAACUCGAGAGCAUGAAGGAGGAAUCGCUAGUAAUCGCAGGUCAGCAUACUGCGGUGAAUACGUUCCCGGGCCUUGUACACACCGCCCGUCACACCAUGGAAGUUGGCCAUGCCCGAAGUCAUUACUCUAACCCCUCGGGGAGGAGGAUGCCGAAGGCAGGGCUGAUGACUGGGGUGAAGUCGUAACAAGGUA
This 1449-nucleotide ribosomal RNA is filed under the name uncultured cyanobacterium. RNAcentral's name for it is "bacterial SSU rRNA". It matches the Rfam family "Bacterial small subunit ribosomal RNA". Lineage: Bacteria; Bacillati; Cyanobacteriota. The record is from RNAcentral.